CUCUCGAGUCCGGGCCGCAAGUCCCAGACGCUGCCCAUGGAGGCGUCCAGCGAGCCGCCGCUGGAUGCUAAGUCCGAUGUCACCAACCAGCUUGUAGAUUUUCAGUGGAAACUGGGUAUGGCUGUGAGCUCAGACACUUGCAGAUCUCUUAAGUAUCCUUACGUUGCAGUGAUGCUAAAAGUGGCAGAUCAUUCAGGCCAAGUAAAGACCAAGUGCUUUGAAAUGACGAUUCCACAGUUUCAGGUUUGUGAUUUAACUCAUCCAGUUUUAGCUCAGCUUUUCUGUAAUCAUUGCAUAAAAAGAUGUAUAAAAUCUUUCUACGGGAAAACUUUAAUGGUUUUUAUUUGUAGAUUGAUAUGCUUUACGUUUACUAGUAGUAUAUGCAAGAGACAUUAAUUUGUCUUCUUUGGGAAUUUGAUAAAUUAUUUUCAAUAUAAUGUGCUGAAGUUGUGUACUGCGCCAUUUGAUCGCUUGAACAGUACUCCUCUCUGAGUAUAUUUAGGAAAGUUUUAUCUUCAAUGGCAGGAUAUUUA
This 533-nucleotide long non-coding RNA is filed under the name Homo sapiens (human). RNAcentral's name for it is "non-protein coding lnc-COMMD6-2:9". The record is from RNAcentral. Lineage: Eukaryota; Metazoa; Chordata; Mammalia; Primates; Hominidae.